AACGUAGGAGACAAACGUUAUCCGGAGUUACUGGGCGUAAAGGGCGUGUAGGCGGUUAGUUAAGUCUGGCGUGAAAGCUCUCGGCUAAACCGGGAGAGGUCGUUGGAUACUGGCUGACUUGAGGACGGUAGAGGCGUGUGGAAUUCCGGGUGUAGUGGUGAAAUGCGUAGAGAUCCGGAGGAACACCAGUGGCGAAGGCGACACGCUGGGCCGUACCUGACGCUAAAGCGCGACAGCAUGGGGAGCAAACGGG
This 253-nucleotide ribosomal RNA is filed under the name uncultured bacterium. RNAcentral describes it as "partial 16S ribosomal RNA". It matches the Rfam family "Bacterial small subunit ribosomal RNA", at positions 524 to 776 of the family's 1533-position model. The record is from RNAcentral.